UAUUGCUCUUGAACGAGGAAUCCCUAGUAAGCACAAGUCACUAGCUUGUGCUGAUUACGUCCCUGCCCUUUGUACACACCGCCCGUCGCUACUACCGAUUGAAUGGCCUAGUGAGGCCCUCGGAUCGGAGGCGGGGUCUGGCAACAGACCCUGUUUUCGAGAAGUUGGUCAAACUUGGUCAUUUAGAGGAAGUAAAAGUCGUAACAAGGUUUCCGUAGGUGAACCUGCGGAAGGAUCAUUACCAAUCUUUGGUGAGCCUGGCAUCGUCUAUGGUCUCGUCAGACCCUUGUAUUUAAAACCCGCUCAUAUAAAUUGUAAAACAUGUAUAUUAUCAUAAUGAUAAAGCUAAAAAGAUCACUUUCAACAACGGAUCUCUUGGCUCUCGCAUCGAUGAAGAACGUAGCGAAGUGCGAUAAGUGGUGUGAAUUGCAGAAUUCCGUGAAUCAUCGAAUCUUUGAACGCAAAUUGCACUCCCUGGCAUUCCGGGGAGUAUGCCUGUUUGAGGGUCAGUAUACAUAAAAUCGGAAUGUCGCUUUUUUUUGUUGCAUUUCGGAAUUGGGUCAUCUUAACCUCCCGGGUUUAAGAGGCCUGAAAUUGACGUUUUAUUUGUCAUCCUGGACGUGUAUAAAAUUUCUUAACCGUUUCGGGUGUCAAGUCCUCUAUUAGGUACGAUCACGUCGUGUGACUUCGUGCCCAUAAACUUCGUUGAAUGACCUCAAAUCAGGUAGGGACACCCGCUGAACUUAAGCAUAUCAAUAAGCGGAGGAAAAGAAAAUAACAAUGAUUCCCCCAGUAACUGCGAGUGAAGAGGGACAAGCUCAAAUUUUAAAUCUGUCAGGUGUUACCUGACCGAGUUGUAAUUUGAAGAGGCGUUUUCCGCGCGUUCUGGUCAGCCCAAGUCCCUUGGAAUGGGGCAUCAUGGAGGGUGAGAAUCCCGUUCGGUUGAUCAGUUGCGUGUACGAUACGUUUUCAAAGAGUCAAGUUGUUUGGGAUUGCAGCUUAAAAUGGGAGGUAAAUUUCUCCUAAGGCUAAAUAUUGGCGAGAGUCCGAUAGCGAACAAGUACCGUGAGGGAAAGAUGAAAAGCAUUUUGAAAAGAAAGUCAAAUAGCACGUGAAAUUGUUGAAAGGGAAACGAUUGAAGUCAGUCGUACCGAUGGGCAUUCAACUCCUCGGGCGCGAUUAUGUGGGUGUUGGGGAGCUUAACGGCCCUCGCGUUUGCGUAUUUGUGCCCUUCGGGUGUACUUGCCCGUAUGGUAGGUCAGCAUCAAUUUUGGACAUCAUAAAAUGACGGGGGGAAAGUAGCUUCGAUCUCGUAUUGAAGUGUUAUAGCCUCUGGUAGAUGUGAUGACCGGGAUUGAGGAUUGCAACGAACCCUUCGGGGCCACUCGUCUGGUCUCUGGUGGUUGCUUUGGUGCCGAAAGCGUGCUUAUGGUUAUCAAAGUUGAUUGCCAAAAGGUUAGAACGGGUUGAAUUCGUUAAGGAUGCUGACGUAAUGGCUUUAAACGACCCGUCUUGAAACACGGACCAAGGAGUCUAACAUAUAUGCGAGUGUU
RNAcentral lists this ribosomal RNA (1553 nucleotides) under Glomus sp. 26 ZHNL-2013a. Its description in RNAcentral is "eukaryotic LSU rRNA". The stretch from base 711 to 1553 matches the Rfam family "Eukaryotic large subunit ribosomal RNA", at positions 1 to 694 of the family's 3401-position model. The record is from RNAcentral. Lineage: Eukaryota; Fungi; Glomeromycota; Glomeromycetes; Glomerales; Glomeraceae.